Molecule: long non-coding RNA, 529 nt
Organism: Tigriopus californicus
Lineage: Eukaryota; Metazoa; Arthropoda; Copepoda; Harpacticoida; Harpacticidae
Exons: 3
Source: RefSeq, a predicted model, not a curated record
UCUUGAGCGUCAAAUACUGGAGACGAACCGAGGAUUGAGCGGAUGAAGACGCUUCGUUCGAAAACGGCUCUGGCCUCUUUGGCCCUCGACGGCCCUGGAAUGGAUGGAGGUAAUUCUUUAGCAAGCCCUAAAAUCAUCGGUGAAUGUAAUCCUCACUAACGUGGUACUGUUAUGGCUUGUUUGGAGAAAAAAUCCUGUCCGAGGACAUCAUCCACUUGGAAACACCUUAAUUGAAGAAGGGAAAGAAGUGCCAAGAUUUGUUUACCUUACUGGACAAUCGUCUUUAUCCGGAUCAAUUCAAGAGGCCUCUUUCCGAGAAGAUCAUGAUGAAUUAUCCUUGCGCAUGAAAAACAGCCUUUUUUCCACGGACUUGUCGAAUUAGUGAUUGCAACUCCGCUUUCCUGAAUUACUGUGCACAAGAUAAGACGUCAACGUUGAGGAGAGGAGACCAGAACUGAGGAGAGAGCAGUAGUUCGUUGGAGAGGCUUCUCACCAAAGGACAGCGAGUCAAGUACUUGUUAUUAGCAAU